AAUAACUCAAGACGGUCUCGGCAAGCAGAUGGACGUCUGACGCUCCGCCUCCAAUGCGAGAUUACACUUUAAUUAAUUUUGAUCGGGCUUUUUAAGACACCGUUUUGGCACCGUCUCAGAGGCAGCUUAUUUUACUUAAAUGGUUUUUCACCGAGCUGGAAGCAGUCGUUCCACCAUUUUAUCCCCACUUCGAAGCGUUCCUGUGCGUUCGGCCACCGCGGAGUUAAAGUCCCGCUAAAAGUUUAGGGAUUUAUGUGACAUUCAGUCAAAACUGAAGAAAAACAAAAUCUGCCAGGCGAAGAUUAAACCUGAAGGAAUUUUGUUGAACUGCCGCCACUGUGGCCACGAGAGGCGACUUAGGCAUAAUCAUAACGGCGAAAUGUAAUUAAAAUGAGCUCGAUGAGGAAGGAAGGAAAACAGCUUCCUUCACCUUUAUUUUGUUGUUUUCCUCACAGAGCUUGAACGACUUUACCAACAAUUUGAUUAAUAUAUAUCACCAGACUUCGCAAAGACAAUCUCAAGCAUGAAUGCUGAACUCUAAAAUGUCGAUGACGAUUGGAACAAAUUGCCCACUGUGGCCUUUAUGUUUGAGCCCAAAGCCUGUUUACAGGUGCAGAGUUCAGCUUGACGGUUUCUCUCUGUCGCCGUCUGAGCGUUUGGACGCUGUCAGGAAUCAGAAAACCUCCAUGAAGUUCUCCAGACAUGUCUCGUCGUGCUGCUUUUGACUGGUUGACGGUUGAAAUGCGGCGCUGUGGGCUUAACGAUCGGCUCCGGCGGCGGCUCAGAUCUCCGGUUUGAUCGCUGAUGACAAAACAACUUUCCGAGCCAGCAGAAAGUUUGCGACGAGGCCGGGCCGGUUUGUGGGGAUUCGUGGAGAGUUGGCGGCUUUCCUCUGCCAGCGUUUGCUCACAGCGUGAAUUCACCGUGAGAAAUCAGCGUGGAAACGCAGUUUCCCUCACAACUUCUGAUCAAACAGUGUUCUCAAUAAGUUUUUUCUUCUUUAAUAUCAACUCUUUAAAAUAAUGAAGUCAAAAGUGUUCAUCUUUAGGAAACUCACUUAAAUCUGAAAACAUCGCGGACUUUUACAAGAUCAGCUGUUUGAGCUUCAGACGGGACCGGAAGACGUUUCAUAAGUGUGUAUAUUGAAAUCGAAGCCAUCUGCUCAAGUUGUACUGAAUGUGUGUGUGAGUGUGUGUGUGUUGCACAAGGAUGCGUGGUUAAGACCCCUGCUGGACCCCCCCCCCCCCCCCCCUUUGCCUCCUACACACAAUCUGCCAAUACUUCCUGCUCCACAAUCCAGGCACACUUCCACCAUGACUAAGGUAGACGAUCAGAAAUAUCAGAAAUCACUCCAGGGCCGGCCGGAGUUCUCCCGGGGGCUCGAGGCCCGCCAACCACCCCCCCCCCCCCCCCCCCCCCCACUGUAACUACACUGAAUGUCUUACUGUGUGCCCUCCAGCCCUCCUCAGCCUCUCGCUCUCUUCCUCCUCGACGGUCUUGAGCUCGGCCGUGACGGCAGGCUUCAGGGGCUGCUGUGUGGAGAGAAUCCCGUCGUCGGCUCAGCCCUCCGCUCCUGUCCGCCCUCCUCAGUCGCCCCGCUGCCACUGUGCUCCUGUCUUUCUCUCGUUUUUCCUCCCCCUCCCCCUCCGCUCUGCUCUUUUCCUUUAAUUUAUUGUGAAUUAAUUUCCAAGGUUGUUUUGCCUCUGUCGCUGGAGAUAAACCUUUUCUUUUCUGUCUUCCUUUUUUGUAAAAUUGAACCUCUUUCGGUUAACUUUAGUCACUGCUAAUGUAACAAAACGCACUGUGAUGAUUCCAGUAUUAAUAAAAGUUGUACUUAAACUGUG
Salarias fasciatus (jewelled blenny) is the source of this 1844-nucleotide long non-coding RNA. RefSeq lists it as uncharacterized. The transcript has 3 exons. Lineage: Eukaryota; Metazoa; Chordata; Actinopteri; Blenniiformes; Blenniidae. The record is from RefSeq and is a predicted model, not a curated record.